RNAcentral lists this ribosomal RNA (223 nucleotides) under uncultured bacterium. Its description in RNAcentral is "partial 16S ribosomal RNA". It matches the Rfam family "Bacterial small subunit ribosomal RNA", at positions 524 to 746 of the family's 1533-position model. The record is from RNAcentral.
UACGUAGGGUGCAAGCGUUAAUCGGAAUUACUGGGCGUAAAGCGUGCGCAGGCGGUUUUGUAAGUCUGUCGUGAAAUCCCCGGGCUCAACCUGGGAAUGGCGAUGGAGACUGCAAGGCUAGAGUUUGGCAGAGGGGGGUAGAAUUCCACGUGUAGCAGUGAAAUGCGUAGAUAUGUGGAGGAACACCGAUGGCGAAGGCAGCCCCCUGGGUCAAGACUGACGC